RNAcentral lists this ribosomal RNA (253 nucleotides) under uncultured bacterium. Its description in RNAcentral is "partial 16S ribosomal RNA". It matches the Rfam family "Bacterial small subunit ribosomal RNA", at positions 524 to 776 of the family's 1533-position model. The record is from RNAcentral.
UACGUAGGGUGCGAGCGUUAAUCGGAAUUACUGGGCGUAAAGCGUGCGCAGGCGGUGAUUCAAGUCAGAUGUGAAAGCCCCGGGCUUAACCUGGGAACUGCGUUUGAAACUGGAUCGCUAGAGUUUAGCAGAGGGGGGUAGAAUUCCACGUGUAGCAGUGAAAUGCGUAGAUAUGUGGAGGAACACCGAUGGCGAAGGCAGCCCCCUGGGCUAGAACUGACGCUCAUGCACGAAAGCGUGGGGAGCAAGCAGG